Molecule: long non-coding RNA, 679 nt
Organism: Brassica oleracea var. oleracea
Lineage: Eukaryota; Viridiplantae; Streptophyta; Magnoliopsida; Brassicales; Brassicaceae
Exons: 3
Source: RefSeq, a predicted model, not a curated record
GUCUCUCUCUCAAAAUGUUUUGUAAACGGAGAUCUGAUGAAACAUGAUCCAUCAACACAGAUUGUUGAAGGUUUGUAUGUCUCUCCGAUGAAUGAUCUACUUAAUCCGAGGUUGAUUCUGUUCGUUUCGUAUAUGUUCGAAGAAGAUCUGAAAAAGUUAUCUCUCAAGACAAAACGAAGAACUGGAGUUAAAGGAUCCAGUAACAUCGAUCUCUUCAGAGUUAUGCCGUUCAAAUCAUCACCUGGAUUAAAGAAAAAUAAUGUUGUUUAUCUCUGCAAAAGUAAACGAAGAUCAGAAACAUGCUUAAUCAUCACCUGACACUGCUUGUUCUAAAGAUAAGUCUUUCAAAGCAAUUUGUUUUUAUUUGUUUUGGCUUAAGAUCAAUUGAUAAUGAACCCUUUCAAAGCGCUUGCCAGAAAUGUGAACUUCAGGAUUGGUUUGUUUUUGAUUGAUCUAAAAUAACUUCAUGUCUUUUCCUAAUAGUUUGAGUAUUGUUUGAUGAACCCUUCUUCUCUGAAUUGUUUCAGGAGUAACUGAAAAUGGUCACAAUCUCAUCGAAACAGAUUAUGAUCUUAUUACCAUGUAAUCAUUAGCUCUCCUUUUGCUGAUGUAUUUUAUAUCGUGAUUAUUGUAUAUGUAUAGUAGUUAUUUUUAUUUGUAUUGUUGAUUUUAUAUUUUA